GACGAACGCUGGCGGCGUGCUUAACACAUGCAAGUCGAACGGAAAGGCCCUGCUUUUGUGGGGUGCUCGAGUGGCGAACGGGUGAGUAACACGUGAGUAACCUGCCCUUGACUUUGGGAUAACUUCAGGAAACUGGGGCUAAUACCGGAUAGGAGCUCCUGCUGCAUGGUGGGGGUUGGAAAGUUUCGGCGGUUGGGGAUGGACUCGCGGCUUAUCAGCUUGUUGGUGGGGUAGUGGCUUACCAAGGCUUUGACGGGUAGCCGGCCUGAGAGGGUGACCGGCCACAUUGGGACUGAGAGACGGCCCAGACUCCUACGGGAGGCAGCAGUGGGGAAUAUUGCACAAUGGGCGGAAGCCUGAUGCAGAAACGCCGCGUGCGGGAUGACGGCCUUCGGGUUGUAAACCGCUUUCGCCUGUGACGAAGCGGGAGUGACGGUAAUGGGUAAAGAAGCACCGGCUAACUACGUG
This 468-nucleotide ribosomal RNA is filed under the name uncultured bacterium. RNAcentral describes it as "partial 16S ribosomal RNA". It matches the Rfam family "Bacterial small subunit ribosomal RNA", at positions 28 to 507 of the family's 1533-position model. The record is from RNAcentral.